RNAcentral lists this unclassified non-coding RNA (315 nucleotides) under Tomentella ferruginea. RNAcentral's name for it is "sequence contains 5.8S rRNA gene". Lineage: Eukaryota; Fungi; Basidiomycota; Agaricomycetes; Thelephorales; Thelephoraceae. The record is from RNAcentral.
GAACGCAUCUUGCGCCCUUUGGCUAUUCCGAAGGGCAUGCCUGUUUGAGUAUCAUGAACACCUCAACUCUCAUGGUUUGCCAUGAUGAGCUUGGACUUUGGGGGUCUUGCUGGCCUAUGGUCGGCUCCUCUCAAAUGAAUCAGCUUACCAGUGUUUGGUGGCGUCACAGGUGUGAUAACUAUCUACGCUUGCGGCUUUCCAUCAGGUAACCUUCAGCGAUGGAGGUUCUCUGGGGGCUCAUAAAUGUCUCUCCUCGGUGAGGACAGCUUUUUGAACGUUUGAUCUCAAAUCAGGUAGGACUACCCGCUGAACUUA